RNAcentral lists this ribosomal RNA (374 nucleotides) under uncultured organism. RNAcentral's name for it is "partial 16S ribosomal RNA". It matches the Rfam family "Bacterial small subunit ribosomal RNA", at positions 527 to 896 of the family's 1533-position model. The record is from RNAcentral.
GGAGGGAGCGAGCGUUGUUCGGAAUCACUGGGCGUAAAGGGCGCGUAGGCGGCCGAGUAAGUCGUGUGUGAAAGACCGGGGCUCAACUCCGUGUACUGCAUGCGAUACUGCCCGGCUAGAGAAAGGUAGAGGCGAGUGGAAUUCCCGGUGUAGCGGUGGAAUGCGUAGAUAUCGGGAAGAACACCUGUGGCGAAGGCGGCUCGCUGGGCCUUUUUCUGACGCUGAAGUGCGAAAGCGUGGGGAGCAAACAGGAUUAGAUACCCUGGUAGUCCACGCCGUAAACGAUGGGCACUAGGCGUUGGGAGGAUUGACCCUCUCAGUGCCGUAGCUAACGCGUUAAGUGCCCCCGCCUGGGGAGUACGGCCGCAAGGCUG